Molecule: ribosomal RNA, 448 nt
Filed under: uncultured bacterium
Lineage: Bacteria
Description: partial 16S ribosomal RNA
Rfam family: Bacterial small subunit ribosomal RNA
Source: RNAcentral
GACGAACGCUGGCGGCGUGCUUAACACAUGCAAGUCGAACGGAUCCUUUGGGAUUAGUGGCGGACGGGUGAGUAACACGUGGGAACGUGCCCUUUGGUUCGGAACAACUCAGGGAAACUUGAGCUAAUACCGGAUGUGCCCUUCGGGGGAAAGAUUUAUCGCCAUUGGAGCGGCCCGCGUCUGAUUAGCUAGUUGGUGGGUAAAGGCCCACCAAGGCGACGAACAGUAGCUGGUCUGAGAGGAUGAUCAGCCACAUUGGGACUGAGACACGGCCCAAACUCCUACGGGAGGCAGCAGUGGGGAAUCUUGCGCAAUGGGCGAAAGCCUGACGCAGCCAUGCCGCGUGAAUGAUGAAGGUCUUAGGAUUGUAAAAUUCUUUCACCGGGGACGAUAAUGACGGUACCCGGAGAAGAAGCCCCGGCUAACUUCGUGCCAGCCGCCGCAGUAA